UACGGAGGGUGCAAGCGUUGUUCGGAAUUAUUGGGCGUAAAGCGCGUGUAGGCGGUCUGUUAAGUCUGGUGUGAAAGCCCUGGGCUCAACCCGGGAAGUGCAUUGGAUACUGACAGACUUGAGUACGGGAGAGGGAAGUGGAAUUUCGAGUGUAGGGGUGAAAUCCGUAGAUAUUCGAAGGAACACCGGUGGCGAAGGCGGCUUCCUGGACCGAUACUGACGCUGAGACGCGAAAGCGUGGGGAGCAAACAGG
Molecule: ribosomal RNA, 253 nt
Filed under: uncultured Pelobacter sp.
Lineage: Bacteria; Pseudomonadati; Thermodesulfobacteriota; Desulfuromonadia; Desulfuromonadales; Desulfuromonadaceae
Description: partial 16S ribosomal RNA
Rfam family: Bacterial small subunit ribosomal RNA
Source: RNAcentral